GAUGAACGCUGGCGGCGUGCUUAACACAUGCAAGUCGAACGAACCUUCGGGUUAGUGGCGGACGGGUGAGUAACGCGUGAGAAUCUGCCCUCAGGAGGGGGACAACAGCUGGAAACGGCUGCUAAUACCCCAUAUGCCGCGAGGUGAAAUGAAUUUCGCCUGAGGAUGAGCUCGCGUCUGAUUAGCUAGUUGGUGUAGGUAAUGGCUCACCAAGGCAUCGAUCAGUAGCUGGUCUGAGAGGAUGAUCAGCCACACUGGGACUGAGACACGGCCCAGACUCCUACGGGAGGCAGCAGUGGGGAAUUUUCCGCAAUGGGCGAAAGCCUGACGGAGCAACGCCGCGUGAGGGAUGAAGGCCUCUGGGCUGUAAACCUCUUUUAUCAAGGAAGAAGAUCUGACGAUACUUGAUGAAUAAGCCACGGCUAAUUCCGUG
Molecule: ribosomal RNA, 433 nt
Filed under: uncultured bacterium
Lineage: Bacteria
Description: bacterial SSU rRNA
Rfam family: Bacterial small subunit ribosomal RNA
Source: RNAcentral